GGAAAAGAGGCCGAAUGGGUUAAGGCGAUAACCUGCUAAGUUAUGGGACUAAAUAGUCCUUGAGGGUUCAACUCCCUCCUUUUCCG
Molecule: non-coding RNA, 86 nt
Organism: Rhizophagus irregularis
Lineage: Eukaryota; Fungi; Glomeromycota; Glomeromycetes; Glomerales; Glomeraceae
Source: Rfam